UCCCUGGUGGCUCAGAGGUUAAAGUAUCUGCCCUCAAUGCAGGAGACCCAGGUUCGAUCCCUGGGUUGGGAA
Bos taurus (domestic cattle) is the source of this 72-nucleotide non-coding RNA. The record is from Rfam. Lineage: Eukaryota; Metazoa; Chordata; Mammalia; Artiodactyla; Bovidae.